Molecule: long non-coding RNA, 207 nt
Filed under: Physcomitrium patens
Lineage: Eukaryota; Viridiplantae; Streptophyta; Bryopsida; Funariales; Funariaceae
Description: long non-coding RNA (PPAT_LNC009310)
Source: RNAcentral
GGGAUCAGGGACAUGAGACUAGUACAAUUUGAAUCAUUUAGUAGAAAUAAGGGGGGUAUGGUUUUCACAAGUUUAUAUAUUUUUAUUUAUUUAUUUAUUUAUGCGCUACUUAAAAAUGCUCAAAUCUUAGAAACAUUUUAUCUAUCAAUGUUCAACCAAUCAAAUAGAGUAAAAUAAGUUGACAUACUUCAAUCAAAUCAUGCCAUU